GCUCAUUGCUGAGUCUGAGUUUCUGUGAAAAUGUUUUUUUUUUCGUAAAAAAUUCAUGAAUAUUUGCCUCUUCGGCGUGAUUUCUGUUGCGAUUUAUUGUUUGAGUAUUAAUUAGUUCAGUUUAGUGUCACUUCUUAUAUUUCAUGAUUCAUUGAUAACGCCUGUAUCCGUUGAAGUAUAAUUUCAUCUGGGUUUGAAUUCUCACACUUAGCAUCAACCGAAAUUCUUGAAUCACAAGAUGUCAUCACGUCAUAGAGAAUGGGAUCCGGCCUGCAAAGUGUACAUCGGUAAUUUGAAAACUAACGCUAGUAAAAAUGAAUUGGAAGACACAUUUUCGAAGUACGGACCUCUCAGAAACAUAUGGGUGGCUCGAAAUCCUCCAGGAUUCGCUUUUGUCGAAUUCGAAGACUCACGAGAUGCUGAAGAUGCAGUCAGGGGACUAGAUGGAACUCGCUGUUGCGGAUCUCGUAUGAUCGUUGAAAUGUCAAAUGGAAAAACUCGUACUCGCGAAAAAUAUGGUCGUGAAGAAUUCCGCCGACGUUCGCCAUCGUAUAGGUUUAUUCCUACAUUUUUACGAUUAACACCACCUCGAUCACCACCAAAUCACCAUCCCAACAGUCACCAUUAUUAUCUCCAUCAGGGCGGAUGCCGCCACUUCGCGCGCAUCUUUCUACAUCAUAACCCGCAUCAAUCUCCAAAUUUUAUUACAACUUAAGCGCGUACAUCGACAUCUCUGCUCUAUUGCUGUCAACAUGAGGAACAAUUUAUCUAUUUGUAGCAUCUCUGCCAGCAACGUUAAGCGAAUGUUUGAUUUUCACGACACGAACUGCGUCAUUAAUCCAGUCGUGUUUUUAUUUAUUAUUGUUUUCGUAUGGUUUGGAGAUGCUCUAAAUUAACUCGGUUGUUGUGCUUCUUGUUCGAAUAUCAGUUUUUCAUAUCGAUGUAAUACUAUUGAUGAAUGUUAUAUUUACAGAGACAGACAAAGGUCACCGCCGCCGAAAAGAUAUCGUUCGUAUUCACGUUCUAGAUCGAGAAGCCCGGUUUAUAGAAGAUCGCGUUCGACGUCGAGGGAACGUAGAUAAAGUACUCGCUUCGUAUUGUAGAAGCGCGAUGUGUGGUUUGUGAAAGAUGACGAUUUGAAAACGUAGCAGCCAAUUGCGAUCAUUUUUUUUACUGGCUAUCAAGUUAUUCAUCAACAUGAUCAUGAGGAAUGUAUCGUCAACAUUUUAAUUCUUAAGUGUAUCUUUGUUUUUUUUUCUUUUUAAAUAAGGAUUGUCUUAAUUUUAUGCUUGUUAUUUUGAUGUAAAUUUUACGUACCAAACUGCUUCGGUAAUUGCAUUUUUGUACUUAUUAUUGUAGAAUUAUGGGUAGAUACUCGUAUUUAGAAAACCAGAGUUGCAGAAGUAAUUAUUGAGAUAUCUAAUGACAUUUUUGUAAUACCUAAUUUUAUUCAUGCUGCGCGUUUGAUCUUAUUAUUGAAAAUAUGUGCCCAAGUUUCUAAACCAAACGUACUUAUUUUUUCCUUGAUCAACCUCAAAGUAUAAAUAAUAGUAUUUUUUCAGUA
This is an RNA transcript of Planococcus citri (citrus mealybug), 1564 nucleotides long. It is a transcript of the gene named RNA-binding protein 1-like, with no coding region annotated. Lineage: Eukaryota; Metazoa; Arthropoda; Insecta; Hemiptera; Pseudococcidae. The record is from RefSeq and is a predicted model, not a curated record. The transcript is spliced from 6 exons.